UAAGGAAUAUUGGUCAAUGGACGAAAGUCUGAACCAGCCAUGCCGCGUGAAGGAUGACGGCCCUCUGGGUUGUAAACUUCUUUUAUCUGGGACGAAAAAAGAUCAUUCCUGAUCACUUGACGGUACCAGAGGAAUAAGCACCGGCUAACUCCGUGCCAGCAGCCGCGGUAAUACGGAGGGUGCAAGCGUUAUCCGGAUUUACUGGGUGCAAAGGGAGCGUAGGUGGGUCUGUAAGUCAGUGGUGAAAUCUCCGGGCUUAACUCCGAAACUGCCAUUGAUACUAUAGAGCUUGAAUGUUCUGGAGGUAAGCGGGAUAUGUCAUGUAACGGUGAAAUGCUUAGGUAUGACAUAGAACACCCAUUGCGAAGGCAGCUUGCUACAGGAUUAUUGACACUGGGGCUCGAAAGCGUGGGGGUCAAACA
Molecule: ribosomal RNA, 422 nt
Filed under: uncultured bacterium
Lineage: Bacteria
Description: bacterial SSU rRNA
Rfam family: Bacterial small subunit ribosomal RNA
Source: RNAcentral